ACAAACAAACAAACAAAAAAACAACAACAUUGCUUAUAUUAGUCAUCAAUAACAAGCAACAAAGCAAACACAGCUGGUGGUUUGGAGGGUCUUUGUGCUGUGUACCAGCCAUGGAAAUGUCGCAGGGGCUGCCUGUAGGGCCAGCUCACAGCAUAGGAUGCAGCUGGUUUCCUGCAACCAAAAUACCUUCUUGAAGGUAAGAUUGCACAACCACCUCCUUCUGAAUGCCAUCAGGAGAGCCCUGUGGUCUUUCCAGCACAAGGGAUGCUUUUUUCCGCAGUCUGUCCUUCCUCACUCAUUCCACAGAAAGCUUUAGAUGCAGCUUGUACACUCAUAUAUUAAUUGUUAAAUGGCCUUCUGGGACUGAUUAUUCCACAUUUCUUUGAAUAUAAACUCUUAACAUCUUUGUCUAAUGAUGUGAUCAUUGUAUUAGUCUUUGUCAGAUCAUGGGAAAUCCUCCCAGCAGGGCUUCACCCAGGAAAAAUGUUUCUUUUGCUUUUACGGGGGGAAGCUGAGUUCAGUUAGGGUGACUAGCAUGAGCAGCACUGCACAGUGGGCAGGAGGGCAGGCAAUGUGAAAUGCAUCUUCAACAAGUUUUAGUCCAGUUCCCUGUUCCUUAUGCAAACAAAACCAUCUGUGGAGGAAUCUGAAUAAUGGGCAUGUAGUAGAACAGUCAUUGGAGACUCAGGAUUCAGUGGUGAAAUGACACUGGAAAUGGGCUCCGUGAUUUUCUUACAUUCAUUUCACUGCUAUUGGUAGGCACCUGUCUCUUGCAAAAAUGGGAUGUAGGAUUUUAGUGAUCACUGUGUCCACUCCCUCACAGAAAUCAGCAACCACCUCAUAAAUACUGUGUCCGGAAAGGCCCAAAAGAACUUCAGUCUCUGAUUCCCCUGUCCGUUUUCUAGGUAUGAAGCAAGAAGUUAUCAUGUGAGUGACAGAAGCUUUCUAAAUGAAGUGUCCUACUGAAGACUUGGUCCUGAGCAAGGCCGGUGGCAAAUCCCCCCACCAAGUAAGAGCAGAGUUGGUAGACUGCUGGCGGCUGCUAGAAGGGACCCUGAGACAACUCGUCUUCUGGCGCUGCUCUAGGAGGGAACAACAAAAUACAAGGUUUGUGAUGAUGCUGAAGGUGGCUUAAGUGUGCUGACACUGGAAGUGAUUCAGGACGGCACUGCGCACCAGGGUGAGGAGUCCUUUGAAUGCGCCACGUCAACCAGCUCUUGUAACAGCAACUCCAGGGCAGAGAUGGUGCUUGCAACCGCCUCCAGACCUGCUCCUUGCCACACAGAAAGGUAUGGGCUGCAAAAAGGUAUACACAGGUUUUAAACCUUCCCAGGGGCUGUGAAAUACCAUGCAGUGUACCCCACAGGUAGGUUCAGAUGCUUUGAAAAUUCAGCAAGAACGCUUUUUUUAGACCCCUUUCUAGGGAAGGGGAAUGAGGCAUCCUCUAUUUGUCUUGAGGAAUGUACGCCUAAAACACUCAGAAGAACUAUGCAACCUGUUUGAUUUUACAUAAUCUUCACUUUUUUUUUUACUAAUACAUUAGAGCUUAACUGUCUUGCAGUUUCUAAUUUUUAAACAAACAUAGCAUGAGGAAAAUAUUAACGAAGUUAUGUAAAUACAACAGGAAGCAGAGAAACUAAAUGAGUGAACUAGACCAAGCUGAGGCAAUUCUAAAAGUCUGUGUAGCUUUCCAGUAGAAUGUCUUGUUCUCAUGUUUAUGGAUAAAUUUCUAUGACUGGAUAUUGCUGUUGGGGAAAAAAAGUGCAAUAUGCAUGUCCGGUGUAUUUGAAUUAAGGUUUUAAAGUAUUUUGGAUUCAGUUUUUAGACAUACAGUGCUUUUGAUGGAAAUCCUGUGCUGAGUCUCCUUUGAUGCUUGUAUAAAAAAAGAGGGAAGAAGCAGAGGUGAAAGAUGACUGAAAAAAAGUGCUGCUCUCAACUGAGCAUUUUCAUGGCAAGUGAUUUUUCAAAACAUGCUAUUGCAAACCAGCAAUGACCAUCGUGGCUUUAGCUGUGACAGAAAAAUGAAUCAGGGACCUCUGUGCUCAAAGCUGCACAGUGUGCAGCUGUUUUAAUAGUGCAGGAGGUGUUUAAUAAGCAGAGUCUCUGCACAGAAGAAAGGAAAAAAAAGAAAAAAC
This 2135-nucleotide long non-coding RNA is filed under the name Anser cygnoides (Swan goose). RNAcentral's name for it is "lncRNA (ENSACDG00005001162.1)". The record is from RNAcentral. Lineage: Eukaryota; Metazoa; Chordata; Aves; Anseriformes; Anatidae.